UGCUUCUUUCCGGUUUGUCACGGAUUCGCGCCGUGGCUAUUGUUGACAGCAGCUCGACGUAGCUGUGAUACGUGUGUGUGGUCAUUUUGCUGACACUCGUCCAAGUAGCCAGACGUCUCGACAGUCAUUGCCAGCCACCACGUCGAAAGAUCGAGAAGCUGAACUCAUCGUCGGGGAAUUCCAAGACUGAUUAAAAAGAUGAGCGGUAGAUCACAAAUGUCAGCGAUGAAUGGGAAGAGGCCUUCUACAAUGCCUUCUAGACAUCAGCCAGAGAUUUGUCAGACAGAACAGGUUGCUCUGGCACAACACUUUGACUUGAUUAAAUAUAUCUGGGAUUCAUGGAAUUCUGUAUCUAGAGAGCUAGAUAUGUGUCAUAAUCAACCACACAGUAAUACCUCCAACUACAGAAAUGGAGCAUCAGUUACAUAUUACCAAGAACGCGAGCCAAAUCCACAGCUGAAGGGUAGGCAAUCAAGAAAGAAGCACAAAUCAGGUCAUCGCAAAUGAAACAGUCGAACUUUAUACCUUUAAUGGUGUAAAAAUCAACUCGUUUUGUUUGCAUCGAUCAUUAAUAAAAUACUUUCAUGUUGAUUGCCAUGUGAUUGUUGUCAAUUGGGCGUUGUUUUGUACAACAGAUCUUUUGUGUACCUGGAAUUCUAUAUUAGUCUGAUUUCGAGCCGUUCAAUUUGGAGGCAUGGUGGGGACAGCGUGUUGUUCAAAGUAUUACUAGGAAUUCGAGUUCCUAGUGCCAGACCCAACAUGUCGACUAUAAUCGGACGUUUUCUCAUAGACACAAGAAACAGAAGAGAUAAACUGACGACCCGCAAAUUCAAUUUUUGCUUUUAAUUUAUAAACAAUAUUCGUUAUAUAUACUUAAAAAGGAGAAAAAAUGACGAAAGAUGAUACGUUACAUAUACGUAUAUAUGUGUGUAUGUAUACAGAGAACAACUUCCGGAUUUUUUAUUAAUGGAAAGAACAGAGAGCGGUGAAUGUUAAACCAAUGCGAUAGAUGGAAAGAGAAAAAGAAUGAAGAAGAUACAGCGACAUAGACACGCAUGCUAGUACGCGAAACAUUCCUAUCUUAAGCUGUAUCUUAAUAUUGACCUCCCGUAUCUUGACCUUUUUCUUUCAAACAUUUAUUAAACAUAUGUUAAAUGGAGGAUCGUAGUUGAAAAUCGUUUUCCUGUUUCUGAUAUCGUGUUUGCAUUAUUUGAGAGAGAUGUUUAAUAAUUAAGAAAAUCAUACUUGCGUGACGAACUAUUUAUUUAUAAUCACUAAGCAAUACGAAUUGUACGCGAUGAGGCACAUAAAGCGUGACGAAUUAAUAUCCAAGAGAGUAUCGGUUUUUUAGGAGGACGUUGAAAUUAUUACUUGUAGAGAGUUUUGAGAAGCGCAUGCAUUCGCUUCGAUAGUUCUGCCACAAAUAACAUCGCUUAGGAAAAGUAAUAAUGCAUUUUUCUAAAUGAUACUCCAAACAAUGACGAAUCAGGGGGAAUUAUUGUGUCACGUUCUAGGUGUAUCACCCUGUAUAAUUUUAAGGCAUAAUUUACUACGAUAUAUCGAAUAUUUCCACUGUUAUUUGAAGAGGAGCAUAAGGUAAACGCCUUUUUAUCCCCUUGGAACAACAUUGGAUAAAAUGAGUUUGCUGCUCAAAGGUGCACAAAGCAUUUACAGAGUGCUCAAGCUUGUUUGAUAAAAAUUGCAUAGACGAAUUUUAAGGACUGUACCUAUCUAGGAUAUAUACACGUAAAUGUACUUUUCCACGUGUUGCAUUUCACACAUUUCCAAGAGGAUUUUUCACUCUCACGUCCGCAAGGUCCGCACUUUAGCUAAAUA
RNA transcript from Odontomachus brunneus, 1836 nucleotides. It is a transcript of the gene named MAPK regulated corepressor interacting protein 2-like, with no coding region annotated. The transcript is spliced from 4 exons. Lineage: Eukaryota; Metazoa; Arthropoda; Insecta; Hymenoptera; Formicidae. The record is from RefSeq and is a predicted model, not a curated record.